Molecule: ribosomal RNA, 482 nt
Filed under: uncultured bacterium
Lineage: Bacteria
Description: bacterial SSU rRNA
Rfam family: Bacterial small subunit ribosomal RNA
Source: RNAcentral
AUUGAACGCUGGCGGCAUGCCUUACACAUGCAGGUCGAACGGCAGCACGGACUUCGGUCUGGUGGCGAGUGGCGAACGGGUGAGUAAUGCAUCGGAACGUGCCAUUGAGUGGGGGAUAACGUAGCGAAAGUUGCGCUAAUACCGCGUAUUCUGUGAGCAGGAAAGCAGGGGACCGCAAGGCCUUGCGCUCUUUGAGCGGCCGAUGUCAGAUUAGCUAGUUGGUGAGGUAAAGGCUUACCAAGGCGACGAUCUGUAGCGGGUCUGAGAGGAUGAUCCGCCACACUGGAACUGAGACACGGUCCAGACUCCUACGGGAGGCAGCAGUGGGGAAUUUGGACAAUGGGGCAACCCUGAUCCAGCCAUGCCGCGUGAGUGAAGAAGGCCUUCGGGUUGUAAAGCUCUUUCGGCCGGGAAGAAAUCGCAUGGGCCAAUACCCUGUGUGGAUGACGGUACCGGAAUAAGAAGCACCGGCUAACUACGUG